UAAGCCAUGCGAGUCGAGAGGUGUAAGACCUCGGCAUACUGCUCAGUAACACGUGGUUAACGUGCCCUAAGGUGGAGAAUACUCCCGGGAAACUGGGGUUAAUGCUCCAUAGUGGAUAUGUCCUGGAAUGGUAUAUCCUCGAAAGAUCCGUCGCCUUAGGAUGGGACUGCGUCCGAUUAGGUUGUUGGCGGGGUAACGGCCCACCAAGCCAUUGAUCGGUACGGGUUGUGGGAGCAAGAUCCCGGAGAUGGAUUCUGAGACAUGAAUCCAGGCCCUACGGGGCGCAGCAGGCGCGCAAACUUUACAGUGCGAGCAAUCGUGAUAAGGAAACCCUGAGUGCCUGUCGAUGCAGGCUGUUCAUAUAUCUAAAUCAUAUGUGAAGAAAGGGCAGGGCAAGACCGGUGCCAGCCGCCGCGGCAAUACCGGCUGCUCGAGUGAUGGCCACUAUUACUGGGUUUAAAGCGUCCGUAGCUUGACUGUUAGGUCCCUUGGGAAAUCUUCGCGCUUAACGUGAAGGCGUCUAAGAGAUACCGGCAGUCUUGGAACUGGGAGAGGUAAACCGUACUUCGGGGGUAGGAGUGAAAUCUUGUAAUCCUCGAGGGACGACCUAUGGCGAAGGCAGUUUACCAGAACAGCUUCGACAGUGAGGGACGAAAGCUGGGGGAGCAAACGGGAUUAGAUACCCCGGUAGUCCCAGCCGUAAACAAUGUGCGUUAGGUGUGUCGGUAACCACGCGUUACUGAUGCGCCGAAGAGAAAUCGUGAAACGCACCACCUGGGAAGUACGGUCGC
Molecule: ribosomal RNA, 791 nt
Filed under: uncultured bacterium
Lineage: Bacteria
Description: bacterial SSU rRNA
Rfam family: Archaeal small subunit ribosomal RNA
Source: RNAcentral